UUAUGGCCAAUUGAUGCACAAAGGGUGCUCGCAAUUCCACUUCCCAUGUUUAAUAUGCCAGAUUUCAUUGCUUGGAGCUGUACAAAAAAUGGCAUGUUCACUGUUCGUCCGGCUUAUUUGGAAGAAUGGAACAACCAACAUGGGAAAAAGUUGCAACAUGCAAAUGGGAUGGGUAGAACCAAUGUCAAUCCUAUUUGGGGAAAGUUGAAAUUAUCCUGUCCGGCAAAGGUAAAAAUCUUUAUCUGGCGUACUCUACAUGGAACCCUCCCAUGUCGAGUUACACUUGCUAAUAGACACUUGAAGGUUUCGCCCAUCUGCCCGUCAUGCUCGAAUGCUCCAGAAGAUACAAAACACGUCUUAUUCCGGUGUCGGAAGGCGAAAGAGUGGGGAAAAUUAGGUUUAUACGAGGUGAUCAAUGAACUUUGUGUUGUUGACCGUGCGGGAGAGGCGGUACUAGAAUUCUUACUCUUUAUGUAAGGUCAGGAAUUAUAUUUAAUGGGCAUCCAGAACAUGCACGAACUGAUCGCUAUCACAACCUGGUAUUUAUAGUGGGAUAGACGUAAACUGGUUCAUGAAGGAAAGUUUCAAGAUGCUAACCAAACUUCGAUAGGUGCUCUUGCUAUAACGGCAAACUAUGUUAAUGCCUACUCCCCUAAGGCAUCUAUUAAAACAGCGGGAUGGAGCUGUCCUCCUAGGGGUUUUGUCAAGCUGAAUAUUGAUGCCUCGUUUGAUCAUGAUUUGCUUUACGGUAAAACUGGGGCGGUCCUUAGAGAUGACAAAGGCAUGUUCAUUGUCGGUGGGAACUGUAGGUUUGAUUCUUGUGCAGAUGUAUUACAGGCAGAAGCGGCGGUCCUGAAGUUUGGGUUAUUACUUGCACAAAAUGCAGGAUGCGAUCGUCUUGUUAUUAACCCAGACAACAUGGAAGUGAUUGACACAAUGAAGAAUGAAGGACACUCGGCAGGAGCGGCGGCUGUAGUCUUUGAUGAUUGUUAUUUUUUGGCUUGUGAUCUUUCUUUUAUUAGUUUUGAACAUUGCAAUAGUGAAGCAAAUAAGGUGGCUUAUGAAAUUGCUAGGCUAGCAAAUUUUCGAAAACUAAGGAUUGGUUUGAGGAGACAAUGA
Molecule: ribosomal RNA, 1119 nt
Filed under: Triticum aestivum (bread wheat)
Lineage: Eukaryota; Viridiplantae; Streptophyta; Magnoliopsida; Poales; Poaceae
Description: partial small subunit ribosomal RNA
Source: RNAcentral